CCCUUAGAUGUUCUGGGCCGCACGCGCGCUACACUGACGGAGGCAGCGAGCGUGUCCUUCGCCGGCAGGUGCGGGCAAUCUUGCGAGUCUCCGUCGUGCUGGGGAUAGAUGGUUGCAAUUGUCGAUCUUGAACGAGGAAUUCCUAGUAAGCGCGAGUCAUCAGCUCGCGCUGAUUACGUCCCUGCCCUUUGUACACACCGCCCGUCGCUACUACAGAGUGCCCGUGUCCAAGAAACGGUCGGGCCUGUGCGGCCUCUCCGGGCGACCGGAGGGCCGUUACGGGGAAGACCCUUUAUUUGACGCGGGUCGAUGAAGUAAAAGUCGUAACA
Molecule: ribosomal RNA, 329 nt
Filed under: uncultured eukaryote
Lineage: Eukaryota
Description: partial 18S ribosomal RNA
Rfam family: Eukaryotic small subunit ribosomal RNA
Source: RNAcentral